Molecule: ribosomal RNA, 372 nt
Filed under: uncultured prokaryote
Description: bacterial SSU rRNA
Rfam family: Bacterial small subunit ribosomal RNA
Source: RNAcentral
UACGUAGGGUGCAAGCGUUAAUCGGAAUUACUGGGCGUAAAGCGUGCGCAGGCGGUUGUGCAAGACAGAUGUGAAAUCCCUGGGCUCAACCUAGGAAUUGCAUUUGUGACUGCACGGCUAGAGUGUGUCAGAGGGGGGUAGAAUUCCACGUGUAGCAGUGAAAUGCGUAGAUAUGUGGAGGAAUACCGAUGGCGAAGGCAGCCCCCUGGGAUAACACUGACGCUCAUGCACGAAAGCGUGGGGAGCAAACAGGAUUAGAUACCCUGGUAGUCCACGCCCUAAACGAUGUCUACUAGUUGUCGGGUCUUAAUUGACUUGGUAACGCAGCUAACGCGUGAAGUAGACCGCCUGGGGAGUACGGUCGCAAGAUUA